This 253-nucleotide ribosomal RNA is filed under the name uncultured bacterium. Its description in RNAcentral is "partial 16S ribosomal RNA". It matches the Rfam family "Bacterial small subunit ribosomal RNA", at positions 524 to 776 of the family's 1533-position model. The record is from RNAcentral.
UACGUAGGGGGCAAGCGUUGUCCGGAAUUAUUGGGCGUAAAGAGCGCGUAGGCGGUCCGGUAAGUCGGUUGUGAAAGUCGGGGGCUCAACCCUCGGAUGCCGAUCGAUACUGUCGGGCUAGAGUCCGGAAGAGGCGAGUGGAAUUCCUGGUGUAGCGGUGAAAUGCGCAGAUAUCAGGAGGAACACCAAUGGCGAAGGCAGCUCGCUGGACCGCAACUGACGCUGAGGCGCGAAAGCGUGGGGAGCAAACAGG